RNAcentral lists this transfer RNA (69 nucleotides) under Camelus dromedarius (Arabian camel). It matches the Rfam family "tRNA". From Rfam's summary of the family: Transfer RNA (tRNA) molecules are approximately 80 nucleotides in length. RNAcentral also lists the same sequence under 2 other names. Lineage: Eukaryota; Metazoa; Chordata; Mammalia; Artiodactyla; Camelidae. The record is from Rfam by way of RNAcentral.
GGCGUAGCUCAGUGGUAGAAUGUGUGCUUAGCAUGCACAAGGUCUUGGGUUCAAUCCCUAAUACCGCCA